AGCGGCGGAUGGGUGAGUAACACGUGGGGAACCUGCCCCUAAGUCUGGGAUGCCUUUUGGAAACAGGUGCUAAUACCGGAUAAUAAAGCGGAUCGCAUGAUCAGCUUUUGAAAGGCGGCGUAAGCUGUCGCUAAGGGAUGGCCCCGCGGUGCAUUAGCUAGUUGGUAAGGUAACGGCUUACCAAGGCGACGAUGCAUAGCCGAGUUGAGAGACUGAUCGGCCACAUUGGGACUGAGACACGGCCCAAACUCCUACGGGAGGCAGCAGUAGGGAAUCUUCCACAAUGGACGCAAGUCUGAUGGAGCAACGCCGCGUGAGUGAAGAUGGUUUUCGGAUCGUAAAGCUCUGUUGUUGGUGAAGAAGGAUAGAGGUAGUAACUGGCCUUUAUUUGACGGUAAUCAACCAGAAAGUCACGGCUAACUACGUGCCAGCAGCCGCGGUAAUACGUAGGUGGCAAGCGUUGUCCGGAUUUAUUGGGCGUAAAGCGAGCGCAGGCGGAAAAAUAAGUCUAAUGUGAAAGCCCUCGGCUUAACCGAGGAACUGCAUCGGAAACUGUCUUUCUUGAGUGCAGAAGAGGAGAGUGGAACCCCAUGUGUAGCGGUGGAAUGCGUAGAUAUAUGGAAGAACACCAGUGGCGAAGGCGGCUCUCUGGUCUGCAACUGACGCUGAGGCUCGAAAGCAUGGGUAGCGAACAGGAUUAGAUACCCUGGUAGUCCAUGCCGUAAACGAUGAGUGCUAAGUGU
RNAcentral lists this ribosomal RNA (743 nucleotides) under uncultured bacterium. RNAcentral describes it as "bacterial SSU rRNA". It matches the Rfam family "Bacterial small subunit ribosomal RNA", at positions 94 to 823 of the family's 1533-position model. The record is from RNAcentral.